AGAGUUUGAUCCUGGCUCAGAACGAACGCUGGCGGCAGGCUUAACACAUGCAAGUCGAGCGCCCCGCAAGGGGAGCGGCAGACGGGUGAGUAACGCGUGGGAAUCUACCUUUUGCUACGGAAUAACUCAGGGAAACUUGUGCUAAUACCGUAGGUGCCCUUCGGGGGAAAGAUUUAUCGGCAAAGGAUGAGCCCGCGUUGGAUUAGCUAGUUGGUGAGGUAAAGGCUCACCAAGGCGACGAUCCAUAGCUGGUCUGAGAGGAUGAUCAGCCACACUGGGACUGAGACACGGCCCAGACUCCUACGGGAGGCAGCAGUGGGGAAUAUUGGACAAUGGGCGCAAGCCUGAUCCAGCCAUGCCGCGUGAGUGAUGAAGGCCCUAGGGUUGUAAAGCUCUUUCACCGGUGAAGAUAAUGACGGUAACCGGAGAAGAAGCCCCGGCUAACUUCGUGCCAGCAGCCGCGGUAAA
Molecule: ribosomal RNA, 468 nt
Filed under: uncultured Ochrobactrum sp.
Lineage: Bacteria; Pseudomonadati; Pseudomonadota; Alphaproteobacteria; Hyphomicrobiales; Brucellaceae
Description: bacterial SSU rRNA
Rfam family: Bacterial small subunit ribosomal RNA
Source: RNAcentral